AACGAACGCUGGCGGCAGGCCUAACACAUGCAAGUCGAACGCUCCGCAAGGGGAGUGGCGCACGGGUGAGUAACACGUGGGAACCUACCUUCUGGUACGGAACAACCAAGGGAAACUUUGGCUAAGACCGUAUACGACCUCCGGGUGAAAGAUUGAUCGCCGGAAGGAGGGGCCCGCGUCCGAUUAGGUAGUUGGUGAGGUAACGGCUCACCAAGCCUUCGAUCGGUAGCUGGUCUGAGAGGAUGACCAGCCACACUGGGACUGAGACACGGCCCAGACUCCUACGGGAGGCAGCAGUGGGGAAUAUUGGACAAUGGGCGCAAGCCUGAUCCAGCCAUGCCGCGUGAGUGAUGAAGGCCUUCGGUU
RNAcentral lists this ribosomal RNA (366 nucleotides) under uncultured bacterium. RNAcentral describes it as "bacterial SSU rRNA". It matches the Rfam family "Bacterial small subunit ribosomal RNA", at positions 29 to 423 of the family's 1533-position model. The record is from RNAcentral.